This 141-nucleotide small nuclear RNA is filed under the name Chaetura pelagica (chimney swift). RNAcentral describes it as "U4 spliceosomal RNA". It matches the Rfam family "U4 spliceosomal RNA". From Rfam's summary of the family: U4 small nuclear RNA (U4 snRNA) is a component of the major U2-dependent spliceosome. The structure of U4 snRNA from yeast and human has been reported. U4 snRNA presents a k-turn RNA motif in the 5p-SL related to recognition of Snu13 protein. Lineage: Eukaryota; Metazoa; Chordata; Aves; Apodiformes; Apodidae. The record is from Rfam by way of RNAcentral.
AGCUUUGCACAGUGCCAGUCUCGUAGCCAAUGUGGUUAAUCCGAGGUGUGAUUAUUGCUAAUUGAAAACUUUUCCCAAUACCCUGCCAUGACGACUUGAAAUAUAGUAAGCAUUGGCAAUUUUUGACAGUCUCUAUGGAAU